Silurus meridionalis is the source of this 983-nucleotide long non-coding RNA. RefSeq lists it as uncharacterized. The record is from RefSeq and is a predicted model, not a curated record. NCBI's taxonomy places the organism in Eukaryota, Metazoa, Chordata, Actinopteri, Siluriformes, Siluridae. The transcript is spliced from 2 exons.
ACAGAAACAGCUGUGUAGGAGGCUUAGAACUGGAUAAGGAACAGCAAAACUCUGCUACUAAGAUAAUACACAGAGCGGUGUAGCCCCUGCUGAGACUGUGGAGACAAGUGCUUAUUUUCCCUCUGAUGAGAUACGGAGGAGGUAAACACAACAGUCAUUAAGCGCUGCACAGUGAAUUAUCAUGGCCUUUCAGCAUGAGAAACGGGGCAGAUUGGAUUUGGAACUGGCCUCUGUAUCCCUUCCUCCAGUCCUAUGAAUCAUCAGCCCCCAUUACAUGUGAGGCUCCAUUGAGUCUUUGCUUCAAUCAUUUUAUUGCCUUUAAUCAAAUGAUAACAUUUGUGGUUAAAAAUAAUUGGAGAGAGUUAAAUGUCCAUAUUUUGUUACUCAGACGAAGACCGGACCUCCCUCUGUAAUGCAGGUGUAUGAAUAUGUUUGAGAAGAAUUGCUUUUCCUUGUUCAAAGGACAGUUUGUUUCUUUUUCUUUCUAUUGAAUGUGUUUAUUUUCUUCUCCAGAAGCCUGUUCUCAAGGUGAAUCUUAACAUCGGGAUAAAUUUAUGGCGUGGUAGAUAAUUUAUUACUGCAGUGAUGUGCCCAGAGUGCACGUGUAGUUUCGUGAUCCUGUGGUGGAUAGUACCAAGGUCUCAUGGGGCUGCACUCAAUGGACCCUGGCAUAAACAUUUGCAAGAAGAGAUGGCCCUCUCAGUUCCAACACGUUUAGAGGAGGUUGCUUCCUACCUCCACACAGGUUAAGUGAUGAAACUGCUGGAUAAUUGGUAGGAGGCCAUUUUGGUCGAAGGGGAAUUAUGGAACAAUUUUCUUGUCAAAAGGUUUAUUUGGUUUACCUUUGCAAGGAUCAGCAUGAUUACUAGGUUAUGUGGAGGUCAUUCAUGUAAAUUAUCUGCCUUCUCAUUUUAAAUGUUAUUUAAAGGCCUAGAACCUAUCCAUUGACCCAUUAAUAAACUUUAUAUUACAUUUUGUAUGAA